UUGACCACGGAGAAUGACGGAUACUCCCCUGAACUAAAUCUUAUCAA
This 47-nucleotide ribosomal RNA is filed under the name Diaporthe caulivora. Its description in RNAcentral is "partial large subunit ribosomal RNA". Lineage: Eukaryota; Fungi; Ascomycota; Sordariomycetes; Diaporthales; Diaporthaceae. The record is from RNAcentral.